UGCACUUGGAAAAACUGUGACAUUCUAUAACGCAUGGGGACAAGAAAGUCGCUCAACUACUGGAAAAUUGACUGACGGAGAUAGAAAUGAUACCUGCGAAAUUUUAAAAGGCCGUCGGUUUUAUAUUGAAAUCAACUUUCAAAAGACCUACAGCAUUGAAGUAUCGAGACUUCUAUUUAAAGGGAGUGUUCACACAAACGGAACGGUUUUCUAUUACUCCGACUCUCAUGGAUGGCCUUUUCAAGUUUAUCAAUCCUACGAAACUGAAAUUCCACAUACAGUUGAGUUUGAGGUUCAGCGCACGGCAUAUUCAAUUAAAUUCAACAUAUGGGAUGGUUAUGGAAGUACAUUAGAAUUUGAACUAUGCGAAAUAGAGAUAAGCGGGUGCGAAAUUGACCGUUAUGGAAGCGACUGUCAGUCUUGUAAUAAGUCUGAUAAUUGUGAAGUAUGUGAUAUUAAGAAUGGCGCAUGCUACAUCUGCAGAGAAGGCUACACGGGAGCGGAUUGCACAAUAAG
Molecule: long non-coding RNA, 516 nt
Organism: Saccostrea cuccullata (small rock oyster)
Lineage: Eukaryota; Metazoa; Mollusca; Bivalvia; Ostreida; Ostreidae
Exons: 3
Source: RefSeq, a predicted model, not a curated record